AACGAACGCUGGCGGCGUGGAUAAGACAUGCAAGUCGAACGGGACAUUAUUGGUAGCAAUAUCAAUGAUGUUCAGUGGCGUAAGGGUGCGUAACACGUGGGCAACCUGCCGAAGAGGGGGGGAUAGCUCGCCGAAAGGCGAAUUAAUACCGCAUGUGGUUGGCGAAGACAUCUUCGCGACACCAAAGCCGGGGCAACCUGGCGCUCUUUGAUGGGCCCGCGGCCUAUCAGCUAGUUGGUGAGGUAACGGCUCACCAAGGCUAUGACGGGUAGCUGGUCUGAGAGGACGACCAGCCACACUGGAACUGAGACACGGUCCAGACACCUACGGGUGGCAGCAGUCGAGAAUUUUUCUCAAUGGGGGAAACCCUGAAGGAGCGACGCCGCGUGGAGGAUGAAGGUCUUCGGAUUGUAAACUCCUGUCAUUAGGGAACAAUUGUCCGCGAUUAACUGUCGCGGGCUUGAUAGUACCUGAAGAGGAAGAGACGGCUAACUCUGUGCCAGCAGCCGCGGUAAUACAGAGGUCUCAAGCGUUGUUCGGAUUCAUUGGGCGUAAAGGGUGCGUAGGCGGCGGGGUAAGUCAGGUGUGAAAUCUCGGAGCUCAACUCCGAAACUGCAUUUGAUACUGCCUUGCUAGAGUACUGGAGAGGAGAUUGGAAUUUACGGUGUAGCAGUGAAAUGCGUAGAUAUCGUAAGGAAGACCAGUGGCGAAGGCGAAUCUCUGGACAGUUACUGACGCUGAGGCACGAAGGCCAGGGGAGCAAACGGGAUUAGAUACCCCGGUAGUCCUGGCAGUAAACGGUGCAUGUUUGGUGUGGGAGGAUUCGACCCCUUCUGUGCCGGAGCUAACGCGUUAAACAUGCCGCCUGGGGAGUNCGGUCGCAAGAUA
RNAcentral lists this ribosomal RNA (888 nucleotides) under uncultured bacterium. RNAcentral's name for it is "bacterial SSU rRNA". It matches the Rfam family "Bacterial small subunit ribosomal RNA", at positions 28 to 895 of the family's 1533-position model. The record is from RNAcentral.